GGACUUUCAUUGUAUUUGGUUCUGCUUGUAAAGCGGUAGCUAAAAGUUUAUGUUUGUUACAGAUGUCGUUUUCUGAAAAUGGAGUCAGCUUGAAUGUUAGUGAAUUGGUAAUUUCUGUUUUCCAGAACCUCAAUGUAAAAUUUACGUCAAACAAUAAUAAUAUUAUUAGCAGCUUUAUCGACCGGGACAAAAACAAAUUCCUUGGCUAGUUCUUUUAGUUUAUG
This 224-nucleotide long non-coding RNA is filed under the name Mytilus galloprovincialis (Mediterranean mussel). Lineage: Eukaryota; Metazoa; Mollusca; Bivalvia; Mytilida; Mytilidae. The record is from RNAcentral.